GUCAGACGGCGCAAAAAGAGUUCCCUGACCGGGAAUCGAACCCGGGCCGCGGCGGUGAAAGCGCCGAAUCCUAGCCACUAGACCACCAGGGACUCGGUAGGCUUGUGCUUGCCUCUGUGAUACAGAAGGGAUACCAUUUGGCGUGUUGAGUGGCCGCCCACAGGCUGAGAGGAUCAUGGAGGCUGUUGAACUAUACCGAGAAGAAACUGCAAAAAUGAAAGAACACAAAGCCAUUUGUAAAGCUGCAGGGAAAGAGGUUCCUCUCCCCACCAACCCCAUCCUGAUGGCUUACGGAAUGUCUCUGUGAGUACAACGUCUAAGUCUCUCCCUGGUCAAUCAGAGGUUACUCUCAGGGGUGA
Long non-coding RNA from Myotis lucifugus (little brown bat), 359 nucleotides. RefSeq lists it as uncharacterized. The record is from RefSeq and is a predicted model, not a curated record. Lineage: Eukaryota; Metazoa; Chordata; Mammalia; Chiroptera; Vespertilionidae. The transcript is spliced from 3 exons.